CCUACGGGAGGCAGCAGUGGGGAAUAUUGGACAAUGGGCGAAAGCCUGAUCCAGCCAUGCCGCGUGUGUGAAGAAGGCCUUCGGGUUGUAAAGCACUUUCAGUGGGGAAGAAAGCCUUGGGGCUAAUACCCUCGAGGAAGGACAUCACCCACAGAAGAAGCACCGGCUAACUCCGUGCCAGCAGCCGCGGUAAUACGGAGGGUGCGAGCGUUAAUCGGAAUUACUGGGCGUAAAGCGCGCGUAGGCGGUCUGAUAAGCCGGUUGUGAAAGCCCCGGGAUCAACCUGGGAACGGCAUCCGGAACUGUCAGGCUAGAGUGCAGGAGAGGAAGGUAGAAUUCCCGGUGUAGCGGUGAAAUGCGUAGAGAUCGGGAGGAAUACCAGUGGCGAAGGCGGCCUUCUGGACUGACACUGACGCUGAGGUGCGAAAGCGUGGGUAGCAAACAGGAUUAGAUACCCGAGUAGUC
This 465-nucleotide ribosomal RNA is filed under the name Vreelandella stevensii. RNAcentral describes it as "partial 16S ribosomal RNA". It matches the Rfam family "Bacterial small subunit ribosomal RNA", at positions 338 to 795 of the family's 1533-position model. Lineage: Bacteria; Pseudomonadati; Pseudomonadota; Gammaproteobacteria; Oceanospirillales; Halomonadaceae. The record is from RNAcentral.